AUGGACACAUUAUUGCUGUCAGUUUUACAUUUGCCCUGGUGGUCGCUCGCGGUACUGCAACUAAACGCUCUUUUUCCCCAACGACUGAACGUGUUAGUGGAAAGUAAACGCCUUCGCCAUCAUCGUACAAGUUUUAAAAUCUGAUUUAUUUCUAUUUGUGAAUCUGAAACUUCUUCAUCCUGCAGGAAACCUCACAAACCUGAGGAGCAGGUUCAGGUGAGCUGAGGAGCAGGUUCAGGUGAGUUGGGGAGCAGGUUCAGGUCUUUGAGGAGCAGGUUCAGGUG
Labrus mixtus (cuckoo wrasse) is the source of this 284-nucleotide long non-coding RNA. RefSeq lists it as uncharacterized. The record is from RefSeq and is a predicted model, not a curated record. NCBI's taxonomy places the organism in Eukaryota, Metazoa, Chordata, Actinopteri, Labriformes, Labridae. The transcript has 3 exons.